RNAcentral lists this ribosomal RNA (292 nucleotides) under uncultured bacterium. Its description in RNAcentral is "partial 16S ribosomal RNA". It matches the Rfam family "Bacterial small subunit ribosomal RNA", at positions 505 to 796 of the family's 1533-position model. The record is from RNAcentral.
GUGUCAGCCGCCGCGGUAAUACAGAGGUCCCGAGCGUUGUUCGGAUUCACUGGGCGUAAAGGGUGCGUAGGUGGUGGAGUAAGUUUGAUGUGAAAUCUCCGGGCUUAACCCGGAAACUGCAUUGAAUACUAUUUUGCUGGAGGUUUGGAGGGGGGACUGGAAUUCUCGGUGUAGCAGUGAAAUGCGUAGAUAUCGAGAGGAACACCAGUGGCGAAGGCGAGUCCCUGGACAACACCUGACACUGAGGCACGAAAGCUAGGGGAGCAAACAGGAUUAGAUACCCUGGUAGUCC